Molecule: transfer RNA, 68 nt
Filed under: Caridina indistincta A
Lineage: Eukaryota; Metazoa; Arthropoda; Malacostraca; Decapoda; Atyidae
Description: tRNA-Gln
Rfam family: tRNA
About the family: Transfer RNA (tRNA) molecules are approximately 80 nucleotides in length. Their secondary structure includes four short double-helical elements and three loops (D, anti-codon, and T loops).
Source: RNAcentral
UGCAAUUUAGUGUAAAGGCACGUAAAGUUUUGAUCUUUAAGGAAUUGGUGCAAUUCCAUUAUUUGUAG